RNAcentral lists this ribosomal RNA (497 nucleotides) under uncultured bacterium. RNAcentral describes it as "partial 16S ribosomal RNA". It matches the Rfam family "Bacterial small subunit ribosomal RNA", at positions 28 to 507 of the family's 1533-position model. The record is from RNAcentral.
GAUGAACGCUGGCGGCGUGCCUAAUACAUGCAAGUAGAACGCUGAAGGAAGGAGCUUGCUCUUUCCGGAUGAGUUGCGAACGGGUGAGUAACGCGUAGGUAACCUGCCUGGUAGCGGGGGAUAACUAUUGGAAACGAUAGCUAAUACCGCAUAACAGUAGAUGUUGCAUGAUAUCUACUUAAAAGGUGCAAUUGCACCACUACCAGAUGGACCUGCGUUGUAUUAGCUAGUUGGUGAGGUAACGGCUCACCAAGGCGACGAUACAUAGCCGACCUGAGAGGGUGAUCGGCCACACUGGGACUGAGACACGGCCCAGACUCCUACGGGAGGCAGCAGUAGGGAAUCUUCGGCAAUGGACGGAAGUCUGACCGAGCAACGCCGCGGGAGUGAAGAAGGUUUUCGGAUCGUAAAGCUCUGUUGUAAGAGAAGAACAAGUGUGAGAGUGGAAAGUUCACACUGUGACGGUAGCUUACCAGAAAGGGACGGCUAACUACGUG